AAAAUGAACUGUACAAAGAACAGGGAGAUGUAACCUACUGUGGGAAGAAUUGAAAAUGGGGACCCGCCAGAAGCUCCAGGCCAGGAUUUAAACUAGGCCUGGCAGCCAUGAGAAGGCACUCCCAGGCUAUGCCCAUGGGUGGAGAGAGCCCCUGCAGCUUUGGGGAAAGCCUGGGAGCAGAAAAGCAGAGACCCCACAGCAGAAGCUGAAAAUGAGGCACCGACUGUGUACACUGCCAGCACUAGUGCCGCAGCUAAAAUCGGAGGUGGGCUGAUCAGAUGAAUCUGGAAGCUCCAAAGCACCUGCUACACCUUCCCCACACCUAGGGGAUCAGGAAUCUGUGGCAAGGCCAAAGGCCAAGCACUUCUACUUCCAGGGACGCAGCAAAUAAUAAGUAAGUAAAACAACGCGGGUUGAGCAAAUCCUGUCUGUGUACAAGAUUAUCCCUGGAGAAUGCGUGUAUUCCAAAGAGAAGAAAAGGAGGCCUGCAGCGGAGAAGCAACUCGCCCAAAACCAAACAGCCAAGUGGGGGAGGCAGAGUCCUAAGUUUCCAGACAGCUUCUUUCCUGGAACAGUUUCCUGGUCAUAAAAUACACUUACCCGGGACUCAGACUGAAAACCCUCCCGCUAGCCUGGAGGCUGACUGCCAAGUGCAAGAUCCCCGACCCCGUCCGGCCCCGCCCAACUCACCGCACCCUCCACCCCUGAGCGCCCCAAGUUAUCGGACUUCGCCCUGCGUCCCCAGGGCCAAGAAUGCUACUCCCCCUACCUCCUACACUGCCGCACUACCCGCUACAAGCCUGAGAGCCACUGCGCGUUCCCAGCGAGUCACGCAAAAUCUUCCUCCACGGAGGAAGGUCCCCCCCCCCCCGUGAACGCUGAUUCUGUUGUG
Molecule: long non-coding RNA, 892 nt
Organism: Artibeus jamaicensis (Jamaican fruit-eating bat)
Lineage: Eukaryota; Metazoa; Chordata; Mammalia; Chiroptera; Phyllostomidae
Exons: 3
Source: RefSeq, a predicted model, not a curated record